GCAUAGGGUUUGUGACCCUAUUCACCACAUGCACACACAUGCAUGCAUGCACACACACACACACGCAUACAUACACUUAUUAUAUAUACAUUGGUUGGGUUUUUUUUUGUUGUUAUCAUGCCUUUCAAAACAAACCAGUCACUGAUCACGAAAAAGAUAGAGAAGGUGAGAGAGAAAGAGAGAGAGAGAGAGUGUGUGUAUGUGUGUGUGUAUUCAUAUAUAUAUAUAUAUAUAUAUAUAUAUAUAGAUCUGUAUUUAAAUGUACUACACUGCACUUGAUGCUGUCUGAGUUGACUUAUUGUCAAAAGUAAGCUAUAGCAUCUUUUGAGUUUUAUUUUUUCAUUAGAUAAUAAAAUAAAAUAAUAUUAACAAUAAUAAUAAUAAUUAAUAAUAAUA
Long non-coding RNA from Octopus sinensis (East Asian common octopus), 396 nucleotides. RefSeq lists it as uncharacterized. The record is from RefSeq and is a predicted model, not a curated record. NCBI's taxonomy places the organism in Eukaryota, Metazoa, Mollusca, Cephalopoda, Octopoda, Octopodidae. The transcript is spliced from 2 exons.